GCAGCGAGAGAACGUUGCGUCAGCAACGGCCCGCAGGGCGAGCCACGCAGUGGCGAGUCAUCCUCUAUCACCGACCA
Molecule: small RNA, 77 nt
Filed under: Salmonella enterica
Lineage: Bacteria; Pseudomonadati; Pseudomonadota; Gammaproteobacteria; Enterobacterales; Enterobacteriaceae
Also listed under: 1 other name
Description: partial RtT sRNA
Rfam family: RtT RNA
About the family: This family represents a bacterial cis-regulatory element known as RtT RNA. The exact function of RtT is unknown although it is thought that it may be involved in changing the cellular response in relation to amino acid starvation.
Source: RNAcentral